GAUGAACGCUGGCGGCGUGCCUAACACAUGCAGGUCGAGCGAUCUUCUUCGGAAGAGAGCGGCGGACGGGUGAGUAACGCGUGGGUAACCUGCCCUGUACACACGGAUAACAUACCGAAAGGUAUGCUAAUACGAGAUAAUAUGCUUUUAUCGCAUGGUAGAGGUAUCAAAGCUCCGGCGGUACAGGAUGGACCCGCGUCUGAUUAGCUAGUUGGUAAGGUAACGGCUUACCAAGGCGACGAUCAGUAGCCGACCUGAGAGGGUGAUCGGCCACAUUGGAACUGAGACACGGUCCAAACUCCUACGGGAGGCAGCAGUGGGGAAUAUUGCACAAUGGGCGAAAGCCUGAUGCAGCAACGCCGCGUGAGCGAUGAAGGCCUUCGGGUCGUAAAGCUCUGUCCUCAAGGAAGAUAAUGACGGUACUUGAGGAGGAAGCCCCGGCUAACUACGUGCCAGCAGCCGCCGCCG
RNAcentral lists this ribosomal RNA (468 nucleotides) under uncultured bacterium. RNAcentral describes it as "partial 16S ribosomal RNA". It matches the Rfam family "Bacterial small subunit ribosomal RNA", at positions 28 to 523 of the family's 1533-position model. The record is from RNAcentral.